This 198-nucleotide ribosomal RNA is filed under the name uncultured bacterium. RNAcentral's name for it is "partial 16S ribosomal RNA". It matches the Rfam family "Bacterial small subunit ribosomal RNA", at positions 328 to 539 of the family's 1533-position model. The record is from RNAcentral.
ACGCUCGACACCUACGGAGGCAGCAGUGGGGAAUAUUGCACAAUGGGGGAAACCCUGAUGCAGCGACGCCGCGUGAGCGAAGAAGUAUUUCGGUAUGUAAAGCUCUAUCAGCAGGGAAGAAACUGACGGUACCUGACUAAGAAGCACCGGCUAAAUACGUGCCAGCAGCUGCGGUAAUCUGAGGCGGGCUGGCAAGGC